Molecule: non-coding RNA, 686 nt
Organism: Cricetulus griseus (Chinese hamster)
Lineage: Eukaryota; Metazoa; Chordata; Mammalia; Rodentia; Cricetidae
Source: RefSeq, a predicted model, not a curated record
AGGUGGCACUGCGUCUCCCAUUUUGCCGGCCUUGGUAAAGGGGCUGGGGCACGGAACUUCUGCAACGCUGAGCUGAAGACGAGGAAAGCCAAUGUAGAACUUCGUGAGCAAGGGAAGAAGAUUCUUCGUAUUUAGAAUUUUUACCUCAUGUCAUACAUGAGCUCUGCGUGGGUUAAGGCGCUCAUCUCUAAAGGCACAGGACGGCCUCUCAGGAGAAUGAGCCCACGGAAGAGCGAAAACAUCGAGAAAUGAAAACCCUCUCCUCCUCAGAUGUCUGUUUUUAUUAAGAUUUCUUGACGCUCUGUCAUGGGGUGUGCUGGCUGAGGAAUUGUGCUUUGCACAAAAUUCGAAGUCGGGGUCAAAGAGAUGAAUCAGAUUGGUUGAAGACAACUGCUGUUUAAAUGAAAGCCUGUCAGCCAGCUGGACUAUUGGAAAGAUUUACCUGUCCUCAAUGUAGGACCGACUCAAAUAAGAAAAUUAGGACACCGAGUCCAAGAUUUCCUUCUUUAACAGUACUUCAGUAGGAGAGCCCCAGUGUUUAUUGAAGUGGAAGGCACAGCUCUUGUUGGAUUUGGAGUAUGGAGGAGAAACCUCACACAUUACGUCCUGCCUCCAGGUUCCUGCUUGAGUUCCUGCCUUGACUCUCUUCAAUGAGACGUUGUGAUGGGGGAAAUGUAAGCCAAAUA